UGCCAUCAGCCGCGGUAAUACGGAGGGGGCUAGCGUUGUUCGGAAUUACUGGGCGUAAAGCGCGCGUAGGCGGGCUGGUCAGUUGGGGGUGAAAUCCCGAGGCUCAACCUCGGAACUGCCCUCAAUACUACCAGUCUCGAGUUCGGGAGAGGUGAGUGGAAUUCCUAGUGUAGAGGUGAAAUUCGUAGAUAUUCGGUGGAACACCAGUGGCGAAGGCGACUAACUGGACUGAUACUGACGCUGAGGUGCGAAAGUGUGGGGAGCAAACAGGAUUAGAUA
RNAcentral lists this ribosomal RNA (279 nucleotides) under uncultured bacterium. RNAcentral's name for it is "partial 16S ribosomal RNA". It matches the Rfam family "Bacterial small subunit ribosomal RNA", at positions 506 to 784 of the family's 1533-position model. The record is from RNAcentral.